UUCACUACAUGUGAAUAUAAGUUUGUAACGAUUAUGUGAAACUUCCUUAUAUUCUAGCAACGGAUUUAUGCAUGGCAAUUAAGUGUCGACCCUUAAUUAACAAAUACAAAUAAGUUAUCAAUCAAAUAGUUAAGCCAAUUGCAUUCACGAUUCAAGAGUUCGUAACUGGAAUUUAUCAAAUUAUAUUGCACACAUAAUCAUGGCUUUGAAAUCACCCCUAGCCAAGAGGGGUUUAACCACUCAUAUUUACAACAAAACGAAAGGAAAUGAAUUUAAACAUUAGAAACAAAAGAAAGAAAACACCUAAACGCUCCAACGAUCCAAGUUGGACAGCAAGCACGUCUAAGCACUUUCCUUCCCUUCCUUUGCUACGGCACAAGGCGUUGGUGAGUGUUUGAAGGUUUGUUUGUAUGGAGGAAUAGAUGUGAAGAUGAAUGGAUGUGUUUGGAUGAAGGUUGUGUUGAAAUGGUUAUGAAUGAUCUAACCAAGUAUGAACUAAAUUUAUGUUACACACACUUCAUUUUAUAGAGGAAGUGCAUGGCAAUGGAGGGGAACAUGGGGUGGUGUAGCAACUGAGUGCAAUGAUGCAUGAAAUUUGAAAUGAUGGAGGGAACAAGGAAUGGUGUAGCAAUUGAGUGCAAUGAUUCAAUGUAAUGAUGCAUGAAU
This 666-nucleotide long non-coding RNA is filed under the name Malus domestica (apple). RNAcentral's name for it is "long non-coding RNA (MDOM_LNC013213)". The record is from RNAcentral. Lineage: Eukaryota; Viridiplantae; Streptophyta; Magnoliopsida; Rosales; Rosaceae.